GUCCCUUACUAUUUUCGGCAGCUUGCUUUUGAAAUCAGCAACCCUACUGAUAAAAUGAUCCAAUCAGUCCUUCCCAGUUGUCAAGACAACAGUUCAUAAUUGUACCAGCUCUUUUCAUUGCAGCUAGACAUUUCAUAAAUAGAUAAUUCUCUAAUUGAUCCAGCCAAUCCUACUUUGCAUACCCUGCCAAACUAGUUCUACUGGUGGAUGUAUGACACGUAGAGUUGUCCACAGAGGUAUUCCUGUUGAGGAAGAAGAUGGAGGGGGGCUGGAGCCUGGGAAGGCAAACUAUGACAACAAGAGCCACCAAGCGAAGGAAAGAGAAACAGUGACGGUAAGGAAUGAAAGAGCAAAGAGGGUGUGCUUCUAAAGGGUGCUACUCAUUAAAGGGAAAGAAAACCCCUCCAAACUUCUUUAAUUAUAUUUGUAAGGGCAAAAGUAACACAUAGCACAAAUGCUUCUGUCAUGAGAACGUUUUCAGUUCAAGCAAAAAUAAGAGCAGUUCCUCAGCACCAGUACUGGUGCUAAC
RNAcentral lists this long non-coding RNA (529 nucleotides) under Calidris pugnax (ruff). RNAcentral's name for it is "lncRNA (ENSCPUG00000009072.1)". Lineage: Eukaryota; Metazoa; Chordata; Aves; Charadriiformes; Scolopacidae. The record is from RNAcentral.